Molecule: long non-coding RNA, 2776 nt
Organism: Daphnia pulex (common water flea)
Lineage: Eukaryota; Metazoa; Arthropoda; Branchiopoda; Diplostraca; Daphniidae
Exons: 5
Source: RefSeq, a predicted model, not a curated record
GAAUCGCCCCGUCAAGGUUUUAUGGUUCCAUCACCCGUUGCAUCAAAUGGGGGGGAAAAAGAAUUUCAAGAAAAAUGAAGAUGCACACGCUGCCAGGAACGGGAUCCGGAUCGUCGGCCAUCGACUAUUUUGCCAGAACAGUUUAAGCUUUGUGUGAGCAUCUUUUUGAAAUUGACAAAUUCAUCGCAUUUUUUUACACGGCUCAUGACAAGUUUACAACAGUACCGAUUAACCAUCGAUACACGCGUGUUUCAUGUCUGGUGAUGAUCCGCUGAAAUUUUUAAAACCUUUUCUUUUUAUAUUAGUAGAAGGGGACGAGUGGGUGUAUGGGAUAAGGCGUCAUUUAGGAGUAGGUGCAGUGGUGCACCUGGAGACCAGGGUUCGAACCCCCUGGUGAGCUUUGUUGGUUGGUCAUACACCCGCUCUGGCGCCACUGUGGCGUCACAUGGACCCCGUGACUUGCUGCUGGAGAGGGAACUCGGGAGGGUUGGCUGGGGGACGGUUUUCGUCGAUAUUGGGAUCGGUCCAAUAUUCCUCAGCGCAAAAGGCAAAUGAAAUGUGGAAUAAUGGGAAAUUGGCGCUGUAUAUCUGGCAGAGCAAAGGGCCCUUAUUUGCGCAGUCAUUGGGUUAAUUGCCUUGUUUCCGUCGUGUUGAAUUGGGAAUGUGUUGCAUACAAGUGGGUGCUGGCUCUGUACGACUAGUCGAAUAAUCUCAGUGAUCAUAUGCGCGUUGCUUCCGCACGAAUCCAACAAUGUUGUCCUUGUCAUACACCGCCCGGUGUAUCAUGUGGGCAACAACUUGUGAAAUGCGUGUAUGUGAGGGAUUAUUUGUGCUAGUUUCAGAUCCGUAUAUCCAGCCUAGAGCCGGGCAGUUGCGUCCCCGGCCCCAUCCACUAUCAUUGUUAAAAUUGUUAUGUCAAUUAUAGAAUAUUUGGUAUCAACAAGUAGUACACACACACAGCGGCGGAUGUGCUCCUUCUCCUUGCUAUUUAGUGGUCAUAUUUAAACUUUUUCUGUUCCUUUUCUGAUUUUAAAAUAAUUUUAUUUCAUUUUUAAUUUAUAUCAAUUUCAAUUUUAUUUUUCCGGGCUCUAAAUAUAGCUCUAAAUAUGAGCUCUAAAUAUACCUGAUUCCCACAAUCUCCAUUCCUAACGAAUUGUCUAAUUUGACUAGUAACAACAUUGUAUCGAUAUUUAGUUCUCCAUCGAUUUGAUAGUCGAUUAAUAAUUGGUAAACAUUGAAAUUUCGUCUGCUCUUUCAACAAGCGAAUACUAAGAAGGAGAAAAUCUACAACGUCAUCAAGUGUCUUUGUCAUUUCACCCGAUUUGUGAGCGAGAUGAAACAUCUGUUAGACUGUGACAGCUAAAUGGUAAUAUUCUAGUUUGCGAUAAUAUGUGCAAUGCACCAGGAUCUAUAGCUGUUCGAGUGGGUGUCAGAAACUCAGAAUGGACCUUAAUUUUGAGAUCAUUGGCGUUUAUAAAGGGAAAUGAACCACUUGUUAAAACAUCCAUCACAUUCAUUCUAUCUGAAUUGCUUUUCCCAUUUUAUAUCUAAUCCAUAGAACAGGAGGAGAAACAAAGCACCAGAAGACAAUUUACUCAAUUAAGUUCCUCUCAAUGAGUUUGACUCCCCUGGAAGUCAGAUCAAUCCUGCCAAGCAAAAUGGAGCCCGAGGAGGUUGAUUCGACUCCACACAAUUCUGGUAACUGAAUAGGGAAGAUAAAAGUUGCCUCUGCAGAGGCAAUAGUAGAAAUCAAAUUCACCGAACGUGGACAUCAUCAAAUUGGUGUCAGGUGAAUGGAUAGUAAUUGGUAGCCUCAAGCCCUCUCAACAUUUUAAUUUCGCAAUGUUAUUGCCCGUUUCGUCUUCUAGAAGAUCAAGACAAUCUCGAUACAGACACUGAUGUGAUGGCCGAGUCUACCACAACGGCAUUGAACCGUUGGCAUCAGUCGAGUCCCAUUCGUUCACCCUGGGACGUAGAGCAGCGAUUGAGACUAUUGUGGCGCGAGUAUUUCUCUCUGGUGGUUAGUGUGCAGCUAAACAAAAUGGGUGACGGCGGCGGAAACCGCUCUCAACAGCCAGUAGCGCCGGAUUGCGGAGGCGAUAACAACCAUCGAGAACUCUUUAUCGUCUCUGGGAUCUCGACCAUUGUGGAAACUGGAAUGUGUCACCAGUUUAUCUUCCCCCUAACAUCAUGGAAGAUGGAUUAUUCGAAAAUGUCCAUUAGAAAAAAACUAAGAAACCGUUGGGAGGAAAUACCGAUCCGGCGAACAGUGCUCCUCUUUCCCGUUGCCAGGCAACAAUUUCUUCCACGCUGCUCGUCUACUGAAAAGGAGAAUGCGUUGAAUAGUAAAUUGAUGUGCGGAUGAAGACGAUUUCGUGCUAGUCGGAGAUGCAAUAGAUUUAUCUAACCGAAUGGAGUGGAUUUGGAGGAAGAUCUGUAUUUACCUGUUUUUAGUACUGUUGCAAUGUGUGACAGAUGGUUUUUCUUGACUAAAUUUUUUCUUGAAUUCAAGUUUGUACCAGUUAAAUUUAAUGGUGUAGACUGUUUUGAUUUGUGUUAACUGGUGUAAGAUAUAUUUUUGAAACCAAGUACUGGGUGAAACUGGUUUCAAUAUGGUUAAUAAGAACAUCAAUCAUUUUAUAAAUCAAGACUUCUAAACCUGUGGACCAUCUCAACAAUUACGCUAAAUAUAAGUAACUGAAAUUUCAGCUAAGUGUGAAAUAUUUAUUGUAAUACCAAUUGGAAAUACAAGUACAACGUUGAAUAACAAGAUAAA